RNAcentral lists this ribosomal RNA (680 nucleotides) under uncultured eukaryote. Its description in RNAcentral is "SSU rRNA". It matches the Rfam family "Eukaryotic small subunit ribosomal RNA", at positions 1034 to 1734 of the family's 1831-position model. The record is from RNAcentral.
AAACGAUGCCACCAGUAAUCCGUCUGAGUUCCUUAAAUGACUCGACGGGCGACUUCCGGGAAACCAAAGUUUUUAGGUUCCAGGGGAAGUAUGUUUGCAAAGAUGAAACUUAAAGAAAUUGACGGAAGGGCACCACCAGGAGUGGAGCCUGCGGCUUAAUUUGACUCAACACGGGAAAACUCACCCGGCCCGGACACUGGAAGGAUUGACAGAUUGAGAGCUCUUUCUUGAUUCAGUGGGUGGUGGUGCAUGGCCGUUCUUAGUUGGUGGAGCGAUUUGUCUGGUUAAUUCCGAUAACGAACGAGACUCUAGCCUACUAAAUAGAUCGUCGGCUUACAAACGCUGAUGAGACUUCUUAGAGGGACAGGCGGCGAUUCAGCCGCACGAAACAGAGCAAUAACAGGUCUGUGAUGCCCUUAGAUGUCCGGGGCCGCACGCGCGCUACACUGAAGUGAUCAGCGUGCAUUUUCAGCCUACUCUGCCAAGAGUGGGAAACCCAAUGAACCUUCUUCGUGAUUGGGAUAGGAGAUUGUAAUUAUUCUCCUUGAACGAGGAAUUCCCAGUAAGCGCGAGUCAUAAGCUCGCGUUGAUUACGUCCCUGCCCUUUGUACACACCGCCCGUCGCUACUACCGAUUGAAUGUUUUAGUGAGGUCUUCAGACUGGCCGGCGCAGCUGCUCU